AGGGGAGAUGCAUCAAACCAGGAGACUCUGGCAGCUGAACUGCUUCAGAUCUUUGAAUCAAACAUGACUCACUACAAGUGCUUUUUUUUUUUGACAUUUCAACUCUGUUUCUCUCACAAUUCUUCCUGGAGCUACUACCACAGAAGACAGGACAACUGCUGGUGGGCUUGCUGGCACCAGCUUUCUGACUAACCUUCUCAGCCCAGUCCCUGGAAGACACUUCGUCAGGUAUAGCCUAAGAAAUGGCCCUCUGUUGGGCCAUUCUAACCAAAACCUGUGGAUAAGUACCCACUGCCUAGUCAAACGCAGACCUACAAGGCCCACUGGCCAGGUUUCCAGCCCAUCUCAGACCAGAAAUGCAGAUGGUCACCUUGGAGAACUAACAGGUCAUGAGUUUCCAUAUGUCAGCACAGUCCAUUACAUGAACUGGAUCCAAGAAAUAAGAAGUAAUACAGAUUGAACUCAGAGCCUUGCACAUUUUGAGCAAGUGCUCUACCACUGAAGUCUAUAUAUCCCCUGCCCAGGAUCCGACUAACCAGCAAGCAAAACAGAUUCUGGUCUGUGGAGAGGCCACAUUAUCAUGGUGGGACGAGACAUGUACCCCAGCUGAGAAAAGAGGGGGAGAAGAGGGCUUGUGAUCUUAUAUCCUUGUCAAGUGUGUCCAGUGACGUUCCCUCAGUAUGUACGUCUCUGCACCACCAAGCCUUGGUUGGAGCUGCUGCCAUCUCUCAACUGCAUUAUGGGAAGACAUUGGAUGCUUGUCUCUGCUCCACAACCUGCCCUGCUCCAGUCCUGUCCUUUGGUAACAACUAAUAUUGCUAUGAAACUCAUGGGGGCAGGGGAGGAACUCAUGCCUUUCUCCUGUUCCAGUUCCUUGCUUGGCUCUCCUGUCUUCAUAGUCAUCUGAUGGGCUUCAGGGCCUUCAGUAUCCAGCCCUCAGAUGCCUGUCCUGCCCUUGCUCCUUGUCAGACUCCAUGUUUGUCUCUGGAACUCGGAAGGUCAUUCUUCUACCUUGGAUACCACAUCCCUGCUAACCAUACUCUUCUCCUACAGGCUAAAGCCUCUUUCUCCAGAUUCAUCCCAGAAGUGUUAGGCUCCUAAGCUGCUCCUAGAAGCAAGCUAUGAUUCCCUUCCCCUCUUCACCUCAAGCAAAUGUGGAGUUGGCUACACCCAUCUAUGCUCUCAUAACCCCAUCCUUGCAUUUCCCCCAUGAAGUAUAUGCUAUUACCGUCCACCUCCAUGUAUCCAUCACAAGAUAGAGACCUUUAGGAGUAUGUGGGAAGCCACAUGUGCUGUUGUAGAGUGGCACUGACUACUGCUGGCCACCAC
Molecule: long non-coding RNA, 1329 nt
Organism: Mus musculus (house mouse)
Lineage: Eukaryota; Metazoa; Chordata; Mammalia; Rodentia; Muridae
Product: predicted gene, 40217
Exons: 4
Source: RefSeq, a predicted model, not a curated record